UAGACAACAAGUUCAUUAACCAAAUCUAAGUGCCACCGCAACAGAGACUCUCAAGUUAACCUAGUCCCAGACUCAAUCACCAUUGACGAGAGCUAACCUAACAGGCAUUACGAAUCAACAAGUUAAAGCCAAAACGCUCUUUGCAACCAAUACCUUGGUACAGGGUCACGAGUCUCUGGAAUUAGUGGUUCAGACAUUUCAUCGAACACCUUUUGAGCGCGGAAAUGUCUGGGCUCAAAUUUUAGUUGAUCAGAAAGCAAUAGGCAUUAAGAACAACUAAUUCAGAAGGGAUCUAUCAAC
This 300-nucleotide small RNA is filed under the name Arabidopsis thaliana (thale cress). RNAcentral describes it as "ATSL041140". Lineage: Eukaryota; Viridiplantae; Streptophyta; Magnoliopsida; Brassicales; Brassicaceae. The record is from RNAcentral.